RNAcentral lists this ribosomal RNA (364 nucleotides) under Escherichia coli. RNAcentral's name for it is "bacterial SSU rRNA". It matches the Rfam family "Bacterial small subunit ribosomal RNA", at positions 1 to 361 of the family's 1533-position model. Lineage: Bacteria; Pseudomonadati; Pseudomonadota; Gammaproteobacteria; Enterobacterales; Enterobacteriaceae. The record is from RNAcentral.
AAAUUGAAGAGUUUGAUCAUGGCUCAGAUUGAACGCUGGCGGCAGGCCUAACACAUGCAAGUCGAACGGUAACAGGAAGCAGCUUGCUGCUUCGCUGACGAGUGGCGGACGGGUGAGUAAUGUCUGGGAAACUGCCUGAUGGAGGGGGAUAACUACUGGAAACGGUAGCUAAUACCGCAUAACGUCGCAAGACCAAAGAGGGGGACCUUUGGGCCUCUUGCCAUCGGAUGUGCCCAGAUGGGAUUAGCUAGUAGGUGGGGUAACGGCUCACCUAGGCGACGAUCCCUAGCUGGUCUGAGAGGAUGACCAGCCACACUGGAACUGAGACACGGUCCAGACUCCUACGGGAGGCAGCAGUGGGGAA